AGUCGACGGUAACAGGAAGCAGCUUGCUGCUUCGCUGACGAGUGGCGGACGGGUGAGUAAUGUCUGGGAAACUGCCUGAUGGAGGGGGAUAACUACUGGAAACGGUAGCUAAUACCGCAUAACGUCGCAAGACCAAAGAGGGGGACCUUCGGGCCUCUUGCCAUCGGAUGUGCCCAGAUGGGAUUAGCUAGUAGGUGGGGUAACGGCUCACCUAGGCGACGAUCCCUAGCUGGUCUGAGAGGAUGACCAGCCACACUGGAACUGAGACACGGUCCAGACUCCUACGGGAGGCAGCAGUGGGGAAUAUUGCACAAUGGGCGCAAGCCUGAUGCAGCCAUGCCGCGUGUAUGAAGAAGGCCUUCGGGUUGUAAAGUACUUUCAGCGGGGAGGAAGGGAGUAAAGUUAAUACCUUUGCUCAUUGACGUUACCCGCAGA
RNAcentral lists this ribosomal RNA (435 nucleotides) under Escherichia coli. RNAcentral describes it as "bacterial SSU rRNA". It matches the Rfam family "Bacterial small subunit ribosomal RNA", at positions 60 to 485 of the family's 1533-position model. The record is from RNAcentral. Lineage: Bacteria; Pseudomonadati; Pseudomonadota; Gammaproteobacteria; Enterobacterales; Enterobacteriaceae.